UACGUAUGGUGCAAGCGUUAUCCGGAUUUACUGGGUGUAAAGGGAGCGCAGGCGGCGCGGCAAGUCCGAUGUGAAAACCCCCGGCUCAACCGGGGGACUGCAUUGGAAACUACCGGGCUGGAGUGCCGGAGAGGUAGGCGGAAUUCCUGGUGUAGCGGUGAAAUGCGUAGAUAUCAGGAGGAACACCAGUGGCGAAGGCGGCCUACUGGACGGUGACUGACGCUGAGGCUCGAGAGCGUGGGGAGCAAACAGG
This 253-nucleotide ribosomal RNA is filed under the name uncultured bacterium. RNAcentral describes it as "partial 16S ribosomal RNA". It matches the Rfam family "Bacterial small subunit ribosomal RNA", at positions 524 to 776 of the family's 1533-position model. The record is from RNAcentral.